GUGAACGUUGCCGUCUGAAAAACAUUCAAUAAACUAAAACUUUCAACAACGGAUCUCUUGGUUCUGGCAUCGAUGAAGAACGCAGCGAAAUGCGAUAAGUAAUGUGAAUUGCAGAAUUCAGUGAAUCAUCGAAUCUUUGAACGCACAUUGCGCCCCUCG
RNAcentral lists this ribosomal RNA (159 nucleotides) under Neoscytalidium dimidiatum. RNAcentral describes it as "5.8S ribosomal RNA". The stretch from base 38 to 159 matches the Rfam family "5.8S ribosomal RNA", at positions 1 to 122 of the family's 154-position model. From Rfam's summary of the family: 5.8S ribosomal RNA (5.8S rRNA) is a component of the large subunit of the eukaryotic ribosome. The record is from RNAcentral. Lineage: Eukaryota; Fungi; Ascomycota; Dothideomycetes; Botryosphaeriales; Botryosphaeriaceae.